UACGGAAGGUCCGGGCGUUAUCCGGAUUUAUUGGGUUUAAAGGGAGCGUAGGCCGGAGAUUAAGCGUGUUGUGAAAUGUAGAUGCUCAACGUCUGCACUGCAGCGCGAACUGGUUUCCUUGAGUACGCACAAAGUGGGCGGAAUUCGUGGUGUAGCGGUGAAAUGCUUAGAUAUCACGAAGAACUCCGAUUGCGAAGGCAGCUCACUGGAGCUCAACUGACGCUGAAGCUCGAAAGUGCGGGUAUCGAACAGG
This 253-nucleotide ribosomal RNA is filed under the name Segatella copri DSM 18205. RNAcentral's name for it is "Prevotella copri DSM 18205 partial 16S ribosomal RNA". It matches the Rfam family "Bacterial small subunit ribosomal RNA", at positions 524 to 776 of the family's 1533-position model. Lineage: Bacteria; Pseudomonadati; Bacteroidota; Bacteroidia; Bacteroidales; Prevotellaceae. The record is from RNAcentral.